Molecule: long non-coding RNA, 551 nt
Filed under: Olea europaea (common olive)
Lineage: Eukaryota; Viridiplantae; Streptophyta; Magnoliopsida; Lamiales; Oleaceae
Description: long non-coding RNA (OEUR_LNC010219)
Source: RNAcentral
AAGUCAGCUUUCUCUUGUUCGGUAUCAGGCAUAACUGAGAGGCAUCGUGGUGGUUGCAGGUUAAGUUUCCUUACCUGCUCUAAUGAUUUUAUGAAUCUCUUGAGGAUGAUUAAUUUUUUCAACUUGCUCCAGUUCUUGGAUUUCAGGGACUAGGGUUUUCUGGCUGACUUUUGUUUCUGGUCCUCUUGACCAACCGAAAUUCCACCUUCACAUGUGGUACAUUGUGUUGUGUUUUCUUGGUCUAGACUUUCUGAGAUCUUCUGGUCUGGAAUAAAGUCACUUAUAACUGAUUGUGUAUCAGAUGAGUCAUCUUGAACUUCUGGAAGAAGGAUCUCAUCAACUGCCUCUUGUACAAGUUUAACUGUAUCAGUUUUGGUGAAGGCACUAUUCAAAUGGCUAGGAAUACGGUUUUCCUUGCCCUGGUCAUAACCAGAUUUUGGGAAAUAAUCACCAUUGUUUAUUUUAGACAAUUCAUUGCAAUCUUCUAUUUCAUCAUCGUCUGUUCCAUCAAGAAGUUGGCUUCCAACUUUUGCAGCACUACCUGAUACCAC